GGCUCUGUGGCGCAAUGGAUAGCGCGUUGGACUUCUAAUUCAAAGGUUGUGGGUUCGAAUCCCACCAGAGUUG
Molecule: transfer RNA, 73 nt
Filed under: Xenopus tropicalis (tropical clawed frog)
Lineage: Eukaryota; Metazoa; Chordata; Amphibia; Anura; Pipidae
Description: tRNA-Arg (TCT) (tRNA-Arg-TCT-10-1)
Rfam family: tRNA
About the family: Transfer RNA (tRNA) molecules are approximately 80 nucleotides in length.
Source: RNAcentral